GCCGAAGUGGUGGAAUUGGUAGACACGCUAGGUUCAGGGUCUAGUACUGGCAACGGUGUGGGAGUUCGAGUCUCCCCUUCGGCACCA
This 87-nucleotide transfer RNA is filed under the name Deltaproteobacteria bacterium. Its description in RNAcentral is "tRNA-Leu". It matches the Rfam family "tRNA". Rfam says of the family: Transfer RNA (tRNA) molecules are approximately 80 nucleotides in length. Their secondary structure includes four short double-helical elements and three loops (D, anti-codon, and T loops). Further hydrogen bonds mediate the characteristic L-shaped molecular structure. tRNAs have two regions of fundamental functional importance: the anti-codon, which is responsible for specific mRNA codon recognition, and the 3' end, to which the tRNAs corresponding amino acid is attached (by aminoacyl-tRNA synthetases). tRNAs cope with the degeneracy of the genetic code in two manners: having more than one tRNA (with a specific anti-codon) for a particular amino acid; and 'wobble' base-pairing, i.e. permitting non-standard base-pairing at the 3rd anti-codon position. Lineage: Bacteria; Pseudomonadati; Myxococcota; Myxococcia. The record is from RNAcentral.